GGUCAUUUAGAGGAAGUAAAAGUCGUAACAAGGUUUCCGUAGGUGAACCUGCGGAAGGAUCAUUACCGAAUUGUCAACACGAGUUGUUGCUGGUCCUCAAACGGGGGCACGUGCACGCUCUGUUUACACAUCCACUCACACCUGUGCACCCUCCAUGGUUCUGCAGCCUGGGGGCUCCGUCUCCCUGCUGUGGUUCUAUGUAUUUACAUACACACUGUAGUAAAGUCUCAUGGAAUGCAUACCGCGUUUAACGCAAUAUAAUACAACUUUCAGCAACGGAUCUCUUGGCUCUCGCAUCGAUGAAGAACGCAGCGAAAUGCGAUAAGUAAUGUGAAUUGCAGAAUUCAGUGAAUCAUCGAAUCUUUGAACGCACCUUGCGCCCUUUGGCUAUUCCGAAGGGCAUGCCUGUUUGAGUAUCAUGAACACCUCAACUCUCAUGGCCUUGCCAUGAUGAGCUUGGACUUUGGGGGUCUUGCUGGCCUGUGGUGGUCAGCUCCUCUCAAAUGAAUCAGCUUGCCAGUAUUUGGUGGCAUCACAGGUGUGAUAACUAUCUACGCUUGUGGUUUUCCACCAGGUAACCUUCAGUUGAUGAAGGUUCGCUGGGGCUCAUAAAUGACUCUCCUCAGUGAGGACAGCUCUUUGAACGUUUGAUCUCAAAUCAGGUAGGACUACCCGCUGAACUUAAGCAUAUCAAUAAGCGGAGGA
RNAcentral lists this ribosomal RNA (705 nucleotides) under uncultured Tomentella. RNAcentral's name for it is "eukaryotic LSU rRNA". The stretch from base 265 to 419 matches the Rfam family "5.8S ribosomal RNA". Lineage: Eukaryota; Fungi; Basidiomycota; Agaricomycetes; Thelephorales; Thelephoraceae. The record is from RNAcentral.